RNAcentral lists this ribosomal RNA (253 nucleotides) under uncultured bacterium. Its description in RNAcentral is "partial 16S ribosomal RNA". It matches the Rfam family "Bacterial small subunit ribosomal RNA", at positions 524 to 776 of the family's 1533-position model. The record is from RNAcentral.
UACGAAGGGUGCUAGCGUUGUUCGGAAUCACUGGGCGUAAAGCGCGCGUAGGCGGCUUACCAAGUCAGGGGUGAAAUCCCGGGGCUCAACCCCGGAACUGCCUUUGAAACUGGUAAGCUUGAGUGUCGGAGGGGAUAGCGGAAUUCCUAAUGUAGAGGUGAAAUUCGUAGAUAUUAGGAGGAACACCGGUGGCGAAGGCGGCUAUCUGGACGACAACUGACGCUGAGGCGCGAAAGCGUGGGGAUCAAACAGG